CGGGGUGUGGCGCAGCUUGGUAGCGCAUUGCGUUUGGGACGCAAGGGUCGCAGGUUCAAAUCCUGUCACCCCGA
RNAcentral lists this transfer RNA (74 nucleotides) under Occultella aeris. It matches the Rfam family "tRNA". From Rfam's summary of the family: Transfer RNA (tRNA) molecules are approximately 80 nucleotides in length. Their secondary structure includes four short double-helical elements and three loops (D, anti-codon, and T loops). Lineage: Bacteria; Bacillati; Actinomycetota; Actinomycetes; Micrococcales; Ruaniaceae. The record is from Rfam by way of RNAcentral. RNAcentral also lists the same sequence under 1 other name.